RNAcentral lists this transfer RNA (69 nucleotides) under Japanagallia spinosa. RNAcentral's name for it is "tRNA-Arg". Lineage: Eukaryota; Metazoa; Arthropoda; Insecta; Hemiptera; Cicadellidae. The record is from RNAcentral.
UAACAUAGAAGUAAUAAUUUACAUUUAGUUUCGACCUAAAAUUUAAAGAACAAUAUCUUCAUGUUUUAA